GCAGUCGAGCGGCCAUAGCUUUAUGUCAGCGGCAGACGGGUGAGUAACGCGUGGGAACGUACCUUUUGGUUCGGAACAACACAGGGAAACUUGUGCUAAUACCGGAUAAGCCCUUACGGGGAAAGAUUUAUCGCCGAAAGAUCGGCCCGCGUCUGAUUAGCUAGUUGGUGAGGUAACGGCUCACCAAGGCGACGAUCAGUAGCUGGUCUGAGAGGAUGAUCAGCCACAUUGGGACUGAGACACGGCCCAAACUCCUACGGGAGGCAGCAGUGGGGAAUAUUGGACAAUGGGCGCAAGCCUGAUCCAGCCAUGCCGCGUGAGUGAUGAAGGCCCUAGGGUUGUAAAGCUCUUUUGUGCGGGAAGAUAAUGACGGUACCGCAAGAAUAAGCCCCGGCUAACUUCGUGCCAGCAGCCGCGGUAAUACGAAGGGGGCUAGCGUUGCUCGGAAUCACUGGGCGUAAAGGGUGCGUAGGCGGGUCUUUAAGUCAGGGGUGAAAUCCUGGAGCUCAACUCCAGAACUGCCUUUGAUACUGAAGAUCUUGAGUUCGGGAGAGGUGAGUGGAACUGCGAGUGUAGAGGUGAAAUUCGUAGAUAUUCGCAAGAACACCAGUGGCGAAGGCGGCUCACUGGCCCGAUACUGACGCUGAGGCACGAAAGCGUGGGGAGCAAACAGGAUU
RNAcentral lists this ribosomal RNA (677 nucleotides) under Bradyrhizobium sp. Gc143. RNAcentral describes it as "bacterial SSU rRNA". It matches the Rfam family "Bacterial small subunit ribosomal RNA", at positions 57 to 779 of the family's 1533-position model. The record is from RNAcentral. Lineage: Bacteria; Pseudomonadati; Pseudomonadota; Alphaproteobacteria; Hyphomicrobiales; Nitrobacteraceae.